This 69-nucleotide transfer RNA is filed under the name Parajapyx emeryanus. RNAcentral's name for it is "tRNA-Gln". The record is from RNAcentral. Lineage: Eukaryota; Metazoa; Arthropoda; Diplura; Dicellurata; Parajapygidae.
UAUGUGUUGGUGUAUAAAGCACGAGAGUUUUUGAUACUUUAGGGUUUAGUGAGAGCCUAUUACAUGUAA